ACGGACCCCUUAGACACGGCAUGAGAAUUGUCGACUGCGGAACAUGGCGUGAAGGAUACAUCAAGGGCAUAUGAAACUUAUCUUCAUUUUAAGCAAGAGUAUUUAUAUGCACUGGCCCUGGAAACGAUAAUUUCGAGGCUCAACGAUGUACGGCACAAAUAGCUCUGAAUCAGCAAUAAAUUUCUAACAGACUGAACUGUGCAACAUUACAGAAGACGGCCAUCUUUAUACUUAUCGCUGAGAGGACAUAUUUUCUGAAACGGUCCUGGAGCUCCGCACAUGAAAUAAUUUAGAGUUUACUUGGGAAUCAUGGAUGAAUGGUUUAUGUACGAUGGAUUUUCGAAAAACACAAGCCUCAACUACUCUUCACAGAUUAAUCAAUUUUUCUUCCUUUAUGUGUCCUGUGACUACGUGUCUAAUUCAUUGCAGCAGAUACCAGUAAAACCUUGUCAUUUAUCCUGCAUUAUUUAUACAAUUAAAUUAUAAUUUGCGAAAAUUUACUUACAACGAAGACGUGCAAUAAACAGCUAUGCUUACCGUGGUUAAAGAGGAAAAGAAAGGCUUACAAAUUGUCUAGAAAAGUGAUAACGUAAUAAGUUUAAGGAACAAUUGCGUGGUAGGUCGAUGAAGCCGCAUAGCUGCCAAAACUAUGACAUUGUCCAUCACGUAUGUUACAUUUAAUAUGCACGACGUUGCGGGAGUUUGCUCCGCUACUGUAUUUAAUAGUUAAAGCGUGAACCAAAAGACAAAAGUGUCAAUUUUAUUCAAACCAUC
Molecule: non-coding RNA, 774 nt
Organism: Zootermopsis nevadensis
Lineage: Eukaryota; Metazoa; Arthropoda; Insecta; Blattodea; Termopsidae
Source: RefSeq, a predicted model, not a curated record